GUGAAACUGCAGCGUGCAGACGCUAUGAAGGCAAUUCUGCUUCUCCUCUUGUUAAGCACCUGCCGGACGUCAGCCCAGAGUCGAGCUUCUUUGAAGGUCACUCCCAACUGGUCCCAGUUUUUCGAGUACGAGCACAUCAGCCUGAGCUGUGAGCGGAUCGCCUCCGGUG
Long non-coding RNA from Pelmatolapia mariae (spotted tilapia), 169 nucleotides. RefSeq lists it as uncharacterized. The transcript is spliced from 3 exons. NCBI's taxonomy places the organism in Eukaryota, Metazoa, Chordata, Actinopteri, Cichliformes, Cichlidae. The record is from RefSeq and is a predicted model, not a curated record.